Molecule: long non-coding RNA, 28890 nt
Organism: Gasterosteus aculeatus aculeatus (three-spined stickleback)
Lineage: Eukaryota; Metazoa; Chordata; Actinopteri; Perciformes; Gasterosteidae
Source: Ensembl
CAGUCGCAGCCUCGAUCCUUCCCAUUUACUCUCAUUUCAAGCGAAACGAUCUUUGUCAAAUGCUCUCAGCGCUCCUCCUUCCUUCCGUCUCCCACAACAUUUAUCCCUCCCAAGACCUCCCCCUUCUCUCUCUCUCCAUCUCUCACUAAAUAUGACCAUCUUUGUCAAACUGUCAGCGGCCGUCCUCCUCCAUCUAUUAAAUGAAGCCUUUUGUUUCAUUAACCUUGUAUCCCUCCUCUCCUUUCUCCCUCUCGCCCUCGCAUUGCCAUCUGAAACCAGAUGGAUGUCAGACAGUUGUUACCAGUCUGCCACAGGAGAGAACACUUUCUGCACGUUUCUCUUCUUCCCCUCGCCGUUCUUGCCUCCCUCCCGCUUUUGCUGCAUUUACAUCUGGCGGUGCAGAGGUGGAAGCGUUCUUUAAAGAGAGGAGUGAGUAUCUUCAGAGACCCCCUCUGGGCUAUAACUCUCUCUCCGUCUGACCCACUGCCUUCAAGGUUCGUUAUUUUUUUUCUCUGCUUGCGAUCAUGUGGUGUUUUCUCUCCUAGCUUUUACAAUGACAUUGUUUUUGUCCCACUUUUGACAUUCUUCAUUUAGUUCCCUCAUCCGUAUAUAUCCAGGCAUUUCAAAAAGGCACGAUAUAAUAAUUAGAUACGAGCCGGAAUAGUCAAUAAAAAUAGAUAUAGAGAUAUAACUCCAUUUAAAGAGUUUUAUUUUCUCGUGUUGAGGCGACGGUUCAUAAUUCACACCAUGAAUAUUAACGCAUCAACACCCUCCUCCCUUAACAUUUUUUAUUUCAUAACAAUCUUCACGAUUCGAAUGUGGACAUUAUUGUCUUUCAGAGUUACGGAUGAAGUCCACUUGACAUUCUGAAUAUUUUUGCUUUACUUUUUUUAGGCACAUUUUUCCUCACUGGGAUUAAAUACUGGUUAAAUAAUAGUUUAAACCAAUCUUUUGUAUUCACCAGCAAUUAAUACACAGUUUUAAAAGGGUACCUCUUCCCGUUGUGUCUGUAAAGCCCCAUAGUUCAGUCACAUUGACCCAAGACACAAAUGAGGGUUUUAUUUGGACAAUCAAUGAAUGGAAAACCAUUUAGAUAUUAAGCUACACUAAGCAUGCUGACUAUUACAAAGAAGGAAAAGGAGAAACAUUUGCAGCAGGUCGAUCUCAACUGCUAACAAGUGACACAUGCAGUCAGGGUGAUGUGUACAGCAGUAGACUAGUUAAAGUGACACACUGCUGUACACAUCCAGCAGUGUGUCACUUUAACUAGUCUACACCCGAGUUGGAAACACAAAAUGUUUUUUCAAAAGCACGCCUCCGCCUCAGGAAAGACGUGUCGCCUAAUGAGGCUUUCACACGUCUCCGUCACACACACUUGGACAAGGUUUCGUACAUAACGUGCUGUUAUUCCUGCAGCGGGAUCCUGCCCUGCUCUACAUGCACAUUGCAGUCUUCGGGUUUGGAUCUUUCUCACCCAAACCCCAUCUUCAUGGUGUGGGCCGGGCCAAACCAUCUCGGCCUAUUGCCCCUUUGUCCUCUCUGUUUUCAUUGCAUUACAGUGUGACACAGACCCAUGGCCAUUACAUUAGAAUGGGCCUCGGGAACAGGAUCUGAGAUAAAGCAUCUGCUGUAGUGAUGUCAGAUGACAGUUAUGAAGCAGAUCAUGAGGCUUACAGUCUGAACUCUCUGGCGCCGCUUUGCUCUCUUAACCUCUGACAUCCUAAAAGCCAAAUCCUUUCCACUGUUUUAGUAUUACUUCUUCGGUCGCUGUUGUGACUUAACAGAUAUUUGCUCAGGCCCCAUUCAGAUGGUAUUUCAAGAUAACCGCUAUUCCCUUGAACAACUAAAAAGGGCCAGAUAAUGUGCUGUCUUUAGCCAAAACAGUUACUUAUUUAUGACAUUCUGCCUCGGCUUUACCUGCUUCCUCUUCCACUUUGUCCUCAUUCAACUGCACUUUUACAAAAGAAAUGAAUCUUUAAUUAUAUAUCAGAGACUUUCUCUCCUCCGUUAGAUUUCUGCUGUGAUGCAUGAAGAUAAUGUAUUCCAUUGAAUGUUCACUCUGGCCGGCGAACAAAUUCUCCAAAUAAACAGGCGGGUUGACCCGUCGUCAGCGGGUUCGCCGGUCACUGUGCUCUUAGUUAAAUUCUCUGUCUCUCCGUGAUCUUUCAGCCUUCAUCUUCUUAACCCGAUCCCCUUGCUCGCUAAGAAUAGCCGUGGCUUAAAGAGAACAGGCAGGGAAACAGAGAAGAAGGGCGGUAUUGGGAGGCUGCUGGCUGGAUUCUCAUUGGAUUUCAUGCCGUGUGCAGUUCAGUGGCUCCUAUGACUCCUUUCAGCCCACUGAUUUAUAGUAGUUCCCCUGCCGGUGUAACCUUUUAAUUUUCUGCCUUUUUAUUUUUAGUUUGUUUGUGCAAGGGCAUGUUUUAAAGCGCUAGCGUCUCGUCAUCCCUCAUUCGGUUCAGACCUUCAACGAGGCGUGUACCGUUUUGCACGACCGAAAUCACUGCAUGUUUUGUCCAUCAGGUGGAUGGAGCUUGUUUUGUGCUUUAAAGACAGACUACCAACAGACAAACAAAUAAAUUCCAAUCCCAUCAAUAACAUCUGUUGAUUUUCUGACUCAUGGCGAACUGCCACACACGAGCUUCAUAACAAAACAGUGGGACACGGUCAUGUAAGGUGGUAAAAGUCUGUUAAUGCAGUGUUUCCCCUGCCCUUCUAUUGGGGGAAGGACUGAUGUCAGUCAGUCUGUCUCCACGCCCCCCCCGUCCCCCCGACCCUCCCGUCAUUCAUCUGUCCCUCUGUCGGUACGUCCGUCCUCAUCGCCCCUGCAAUGCUGUUAACUAAAGGGAAACCCUAAAAUAGCAUCUAGUAUUAGCAUGGAAGCGUAGCAACCGGCCCCCCACUGGUAAACGCUAUUAGCUCCGUCAGUCCUUUUGCUGUAGUUUCCCCCCUUUGACGCUUUUGCCAUCGUUAGCUGGUCGCCAGUGGCUCGCCGUCACCAUGUCGGGAGCCGUUGGGAUCAAUAGCAAUGAUCCCAACCUCGGAUCUUGCUUAGAGAACCUCAAUUUGUGUUGUUUGAUAAAUUGUAAAAAGUUUGUAAAGUGUUAAAAAGGUGAGACGUGUGCUUGGAACGCAAUUAGGUCAAUACAAUUUCUUAGAUAUAUUACAGAUGGAUAAUGCUGGUGGAUCCAUCUGUUCAUCGUCAUUUUAAGCCCAACCGCGGAUAUAUUUUUAAAUUGUCAACCACUAGUUUGAAAGGGUCAAAUAAACUGAACUCCCUGGUUACUGAAAACGUUAUUGAGACAGAUGUUCAGUUGGGUGGAGUUUCCUGAAUCAAGAUGUAGCCUACAGCCAUGAUUGUAAAAUGAAUCAAGGAAGAGCAAAAAAACAUCCACGCUGGGCUGACAUAGUGUUAUGACGGAUGACAUUAUCAAGUAAUGAUACGUAUGGCGUUUGGAUGUCUACAGAUAAGGAUUUAGGGAGCGGGGGUGUUGGAAAGACACAUGCUGAGUGUGUAAUUACCACUCACUGUUUGCAUUAACAUCUCAUCUAAUUUAAUUCCUCUCUCUGUAGUAGCUACUGUAUAUUUAGCUCUUUCCCAUUAUUCACUACUCGGGUGUUUCUUUCUCGUACACUCCGAUCUCCGCAUAAAUAAUGAUUUAUUUUUGAUUUGCCUGCUUCUGUUAAGGUUAUUCUUUGGUACUAUUUUUGCUUUUUUGUUUAGUAUUGUGAUCAUUUAUGUGCUCUGCGCUGCUGCUAAAGGCGCUGUUGUCAUCAAGAGAGUUAAGGAACUGCUGAAUUGGAAAAGUAUAGCUGGUGUCAAGGUCUGGAGGACGUAGAGGCACAUAGUUGGAAAGGCGAAUACACAAGAACGGCAAGGGGGACCGAGACCGAAUGUGAGCAUCUUAACCGUGAUGUUUCAUGUGAUACCACUCUUUCUUUCUCUCUCUCUCUCUCUCUCUCUCUCUUGACAAACUGAGAUAAGCUGCCCUGACUCUGCAUAAGAACAAAAUAUAAAACAACCCCAAAAAAAUCCACCAUUCUGAGGUCAGAUUUAUCUGGUGGAAAAUGAAAGGAGACACGACAGGAUGCAGGGAGAGGGCGAAACGGUGGAGGAGGGAAUAUGGAAAAAAUGUAUAAACUUUCUGCCUUUUAAUGCUCUCGCCGUAGUUAAUGCAGCACGGUGAGUUGUUUGCUGGUUCGCUGAUCAUCACUUUAAGCCGAGAGCACAUACUUGUUACCAUUUGGGCCUUUGACCGAAACCUUCAGAUGGCUGGUGAAACGUCUCCUCUUACAGGCAAAUCUAUGGAAUUUUUUUCAAUCUCUAUUAAGUAAAUCAUUAAAUUUUAAUUGUAUAUUGUAGGGAAAAGCAGUACUGACUGACUGUUUGCUUCCUAUUUGUUGUCAGUUAGUUUGGACCUGAAGUAUUUGUGAAUGAAUAUUUUUUACUUUGGGAAAGUGAGCGUAAUAAUAGCACUCUCAUGCUUGUUGUCCUUGCGUUCCACUCAUUGUAAAAGUUGACGAAAUCACACGUAACGUUAGCAGUCAGUUCUUCUUCUCCUGUUCCAUUCACUGGUAUCUAAUUCUUUCUUUUAGCAGCUUUUAUGCGCACCACUAGAUCACUUCAUCGUGAGCGUGACGCGGCUGUGGUAACAGGCGCUUUACAGCACGGCAGCUUCGGGUGAUGUGCGUGCAAAUGUAACUUGCCAUGAAGUCGAGCUAGUUGGGGUUUUGUGCGUGAACCUAUGACUGUGUGUAAUAGACAGUGUGUGAAAAAGCGUGUAAUAGGCUCACCUGUCCCCGCCUGCCGACUGAUGGGCAGGGGGAGAGAAGGGAAACCAGGUGGAAGGAGGGAGCCAUGGAGGAACCAAUGCACCGAGUAGAUAAGGCUGCAUUUUAUGUUCCGACUUCCACAUUGCUGAAUAAAUGAACACCAUUAUAGAAUGGGGUAUAAAAUAAAAGGGAGAGGUAUGUUGAUUGAAGAAAUAUUGCUUAUUGGAUGAGGCUGGGGAAGCGGGUGUGGAUCGAACCUUAGGAGUUCAUUACAUUUAGAUUUUUGUAAGCAGAGUAGUAUCUCUUUAGAAUCACCAAUUUGAACCAGUUAAAGUUUAUUACUGUGGCUUUUGAAUUAUGCUGAAAAUAUCAGCAGAGAUGAUCUUUCUCAAUGGGGACACAACGUAAAGCAUCUAUAAAAAUUGGAAAUGGUUGCCGUAACAACAGCCGUUGGUUUGUAAGGGCCUCAGUUUCACAUUUGGGCGGUCAGCAUCUUUUGCAACCAUAAGUGACAUGAGCGGGCGACUAAAACCGAGCCUUCUAUAAGACUAUAAAAAUAUCAUUACUAAAACCAUGAACAUUCAAUGAAGGAGUUGAAAGUCAAAAACACAGACGUCUCCCAUAUUGGAAAAAGCCGUGGUAGCAACCUGCCAAUCACAAGUUAGCCACGCCCUCAGGCCAACCCGGCUUUAUGGUCCCACUUAGUCUAAAUGGGGCCGUCAUUAACUAAGUAAACCACUGAAUGAGACGUCAUGUUCACAAUGUUUAUUGAGGUAAUAAAUCAAGUGAAAUGUGGUGUCAUUUUCUCUUCGGCUCCUAUGCAUUCAGACUUCUUUUUGCAACCAGAGGAGAAAACGAUGGACAUUAGUUUGAAUGCUUAAGGCGCUUCCACAUUGGCAUCCCUCUUUAAAAACAUAGGUCGCUGUCUGGUCGCAACAACCGGGGCAGAUAUCUAAAAAGAAAAGCAAUAGUCACUUUGGAAAAAUAAAACUCCUUUUUUGACUGUUUAAUCUUCUGCCCUGACUAACUGUUGUUUGUCUUUGACAGGGUGACGAGGAAGAUCACGCUGACGUUUCGUCUUGUCCAAGGUAAGAACACAAGACCGCCUGUAUCUCUUUGCUCCAUAAAAAAAAAACCCUGCUGUAACUCAAUAGUUUUUCAUCCUCUCAGUUUCUCUCUCGUUGUAUUCAGACCUCAUGUGCUGCUUUUAUCCGUGCUGAGUACUCUUCUCAGAAUUUAGGAGGGCAUGAAACCCAUUUUAUUUUCCGUGUUGAUAGACAUAACUCUACUUCCCCUGCUAAAACAUUAAAGCGGUGAAUUUGUACAAUAUUGUAGGCUUGUUUUGCCAUCACAUGAAAGGGGACUCCCUCUGCCAAAUCAAUAAUGGUAGCCAUAUGUGUGAGAAGCCUCAAUGCCGUGCAAGCUGUUGUGAAUAUUUGGGAACAAGGCAGGCAGUGUAUGAAAUCACAUUUCUGUCCUUUUGAAUCAGAACUGAGAUUCUCAAUACUCAGGUGAUGCGUUUGAAUUUAAGAAUACUGUUGGAAAAUUCACAUGCUGCCAACCCUGCCGGCCGACCUGAACCCCCCCCGACGAGAACCUGUGGCCCACCAGUAUGGUGGUCUGCUUCUCUGUCAGUAGCACGUCUCCGGCCAUAUCUGGUUGCCGUGGUGACAUGCCCAUGUCAGCAGCAGUGUGUGUGUGUGUGUGUGUGUGUGUGUGUGGCGGGCGAUGAAAGGACUCUGUGGAGGCGGAUAGAAUUCCUCUGUCCAGAAACGCCAGCGGGACGCACACAUGUCGGCGCUCGUGGAGGGGAAACCUCAGACAUGUGGGCACGCAGGAGACGCACGUGUCACAAAAGUGUACACAGCCACAACGGUACAGGACAUGGGCAGAUGCAGCAGACACACACGUAGAGCGAUAUCCAGAUUCCACGGAGGGCGCGGCCAUGCAUUCACGCUGACAGCUCAGGACUCUAGGGUUACAUACAGGGAAGUCCAUGCGUGCCGCAAUGCUUUGAACACUAAUGGUAUGUAUACACACUUUUAUUAACGCACACAGACCUGAAGCUACGGUUUAAUGCCUCCCACUAAAUAAAAUGUCUGCGUCCGGUCCUUAAAGGUCUUUCUUUUAAACAUGAAUGACGGAUGAUGUAUGCACGCAGAAUUAGCGAAUGCAAAUUGUUGCUGGCUCAGCAGCUGCACCGCGGGAAUCUGGGGUUAAGGGCCUUGCUUCUAGGGCAACUUUUAUUGCCGAUGAGGGAGGGAAGGGCAUUACUCAUUUGCUCCCCCCCAGCCAGAACAGACGUCCCCAACACGAGCUGGUUUGGGGAUCUAAAACGAGGACACACGCCUGCCGAAGCCUCGGGCUUCUACUGACAAACAGGUGUAAUGCACAGUUUUUUUUCCUCUAGAAUUUAUUCUCCCCCGUCAGGACGUUGGCCUCGCAGCAAGCAAAGCGUAUGUCAUACCGCUUAAGCAGUAUAAACAAACUAAUGAGAUUCGGAAAAACGUUAAAUAAGAAAGAGGGAAGACUCAAGGGACUGAGACUCUGUAGAGUCUAUCAAAGAUUCAACAUUAUUCAUUUGUUUGCCUCGAGCACCUAAAAUAGUUUUUAUUGACUAUUCAGCCCUUUUGAUCCGACUCUUUUUUUAUUUGCGCAUCACUCUUGGAUGCAUCGUUUUAAAUGGAGAGUACAGAGUGAGCUAAAAUGUAGUUUACACUGCAUUCGCUCUUUGUGUCCGUGUGAGGCUUUCGGAGGUGGUGAAGGACGAGAACGAAGUGGUUCCGCCGCUCUGAACUCAAUGUUGUUUAACUCCCGAGGUCAAAUGAACUAAUUGAAAUGACAACAGAUCCCAGAUUUGAACCCCGAUCAGAUGGGUUCAGAGAAUCCUCCAUGAAGUGAUGCACCUGUAAGAUAACCCGGGACGAUGACAGCCUUUCUUUUAUCUUUCCUUGUCGCACUCUACCACUCGUCCUGCCGUCGGGCCUCUGUUGGCAUUCGUGUCGGCAAAUUGCUUAGUAGACACCACCAUGUCAUGUACACUUGCACAGCGUGUCUGCGUGUGGGGUCGUCAGUAAUGGGAGACUGUGUGUUUUUUGAUCCCUGGGGUUCGCCUUGUCGCCAGAAUCUCCUUAACACCCACACACCCCGUCUCUCUCCGCCUCUCCCACGGCACACACACACACACACACACACACACACACACACACACACACACAACCCUGACCACACUUGGCUAUUUAGGAUUAUAUCCCCACUGAUUUGUACCCUCUACAUGUGCCUGAUUUACUUUGCAAAGGCAGUUUGGGAUGGAUCGAUUUUCCUUUUUUUACAAUUAUGACAAGUUGUUUUUAAGCCUUUUCUGUAUAUUACACCUUAGAGACAGUUCAUGGUAAUGGAUUUAAUAUCACCCUAAAUGUCACUCAUGUUGUUAAACAGCAGGAUAUGUUUUUGUUCCUUUUUGAAUUAUCUCAUCUUUAAUUUAGCCCUUAACAGUUUAAUAGCCAUCGUCAGACUGAGGCAGCUGUUACUAGGAUUUUCUUUUUUUUUGACAUAACCCACUUUUGAAAAGUAAAUGAGAUAAUAGUGAAAGAAAACUACUUCAGCUCAGAGAGAUUUUUUUAAACAUGAAGUUAUUGCAGUACAACGCAUUUAAAAAAAAAGAUGAUUUAUGAGUGUGUGUGAAACAUUAUAGGUAUGUCGCUGAGAUCAAAAUCAAGGCCAUGGUUGUAGAUUGUAGGCGUGCGGUCAGAACAAGGAAUGCCGAAAAGUAGGAGGUCGGUAUGGAGCCGUCCGCCACGGCGGAUACUUAAGUCUGAAAGACUGAGGAUGAGAUCCUGAAAAUGUGAAGACACUCGUUUCUCAAUGUAUAACAAGACAUGCGUGUUGAAAUCCUGCAGGAGGAGAGCUACGUUAGCGCUUAGCAGCAGGUGAGCGGCAAGGUGCUACUUGGUCACAUAAAAGAGCCAACGGCUAAGAAACAGAGGUUGAAUUGUGAUGCGUCCAAGGUCUAUUUCCUAAACCUUUGGAAAAGCUAAAUAACAACCUCGUUAUUUGUUCAUUUCGUGAAUGAUUGAUAUGUUUGCAUUCAAAUAUAUGGAGUUUUUGAUCCUGUUUUGUACCUUUUGGUAUCAAGUUUGUUUGGGAGAAUUGUAGAAUUUCACUCAUAUUUAAAACAAUCACUACAUUUCUUAUAUUUGAAAUGCCGAGACACCACAAGCAUGUAGUGUGUUCCACAACCAGGACAGAAUGAGGACCACUGAUUACCAUGUCUGACCGAGCAUUGCUGACACGAGUGAGAGCAAAGCACAAUACAACCUCAGUGUUGUCUUGACUGUGCACACUGGGCAUCCUUUAGGCCGCUCUCGCAUAUUCCCGGGCGUUGUUGAGUCUACACGUUGCUAUGCACAUUGACAAGGCAAAUCUACAUACACGGCGCCGGUUGCCAUUCGCUGUGACCUAGAAUGGCUGACAAGGGGGAUAAGUCGAGGAAUUGUAUUAACCCAGCCGUGUCCCGAUCACGCUGACAAGACAUUAUUCUUUUUCCUGUUGCUGCUGUUAAGAGCAGAAUGUCUGCUCUGUCAGAUACAGAUGCUGACAAGCCGGCGUUCUGGCGUCUUAAGCGCCGCUGACCAGGGAAUAGGAACUAAGGAGUAGAAGUCAGGCCGGCUGUAUCGACGGCGCAUGUUGACAAAGCAGCAGAGAGCGUUGCGUUGGCCUUGUGUUUGACACGGGACUGGUGACAAGUCCUUGCUAUUCCACACCCGUGUGAGCACGGCGAGGUCACGCUGACCCAAGCCCGCUGGUCCGAGGGGACUGCACUUGAUUCUACUGUGUCUUUUCCUGCGAACAUUGUGAGUGUCCAGCAUGUGUGCGCAUUGAUUAGCCAAGAUGUGUGAGCUCGGCUCCUCGGGACGGCCCCGGUUGUUGCCGGAGGUCAAUGCGUGUGCGCUCUUAAGUGUGUGUUUGCGCUCGCGCGCGUGUGUGUGUAUUUGCCAGGCGGUGGGGGGUUAGGCCCGGAUUGCAAUGACAAUGGAGAGGAAUUUAAAUGAGAGAAAAGAGGGAGAUCAGGGACGUUUGCAAGGAGGAUGGAAGAGGCUUUGGCACCAUUGUUAUUCUUCCUCUUUGUUAUUCUGCCACUCUAUCUCUCUAUUACAAAUCCUCCACUCUGUGGCUCUCUCACUCGGCUAUGUUUGUCACUGAAAUCACUCUGUUAAUUUGAUCCCAACUUAUCCCUAUCUUGAUUUUUUCCCCCUCUAUGUCAACUCCCUGUUGGGAAAGGUUUUCUUUUUUUUUUCCUUCUACUUGCUCUCAAGAGUCACACGUGCUUCACGUCACGCCAAGUUGGGGAAUCUGGGGUUUUUGCCCCGGAUCCUUAUUUGGGUUGUAGAAACUGACCAGAUACUUAUCUUAUACUAAUCUAUGAUACAACUACGCUACUAACUACUGCGGCAUCCAGCUCGGUAGUUGCUGCUAAUGUAACGGCGGUGCUGUUUUAAAUCCUAAAGUAGCUUUGGAUUGUAAUCGUUCAGUGCCGAAAAUAUUAAUCAGCGCAGUGACAAGAAUCUGUCUUGUCAGGUUUGGUCAAAUUUUGUGUUCAUGGAGACAAUUUUUUUUUCUUCUUUUCAGGUAUAUUGUUUGUUAAACAUACAUGUCUAUAAACAUACAUCCAAGAAUGAAAAAAAUAUCAUUCAUUCACUUUUUUAUUUCUAAUGUAAGUAAGUCAGGUUCCGCCUUCUAUUUGUGUCUCAUAUUGAGGGCUGUCCUCCACCAAAGUCCUCCUCAGCCGGCUAACAGUUUGUUGACUAAUCAAUUAGCUGAUUUAAAUCGACAGAUCUGUGAACCUUGAGUAUCUCUUACAAUCACACAGAAGCUUCACUGGAAAUCUGUGAAACCACGUGUCCCUCUCCUUGACCACCAAGCACCAAACACGGAGUCGACUGAGAACUAAAAACAACCGAUUUGUUCCUCAAUCAGGAGGUUCCCCUAUAAUAUCCAGUGUGUCUUUCAAUGUUUUUUUAAUUUUUAUUUAGUGUCACUUGACUUCCUCCCGUCAGCAGUGACUCACCGUUCCUCUGUGGCUCUCUUUGUCUUGUCGCUCCCCCCAUCGCAGUGUUAUUACCUCUACAGUCUCUGGUCAGAUCUAGUGCAGUUGCUAAUAUAACCACUCUCAAAACAGGCUCAUUGAUUUUAAUCCCUCUCUCUCUUUCUCUCUGUUAUAGACACACACACACACACACACACACACACACACACACACACACACACACACACACAAACAGACUUUCUCUCUCAGUUUCUGUUUGCCUGCCCCUCUCUCUCUCUUUCUCUCUGUAGCAGCUCUAAUUGCGAUCAAUUAUGAAACUUCAGAAGGCUGAAAUAGGAGCUGCGACAAGGGGCAUCCGCUGAGCUGGCAGGGGGAGAGGGAAGGGGGGGAGAGGCAAGGGGGGGAGGAGGGGAAAACGGUGACAUAGGAGCGCAGAGUGGAUGGGAGGGGCAGCGGAGAGAAGUCCAAGUCGGUGUCGAGAGAUGAGCUAAUGGUAAUGGCUUGAUUGAUGUGGCCACAGCAGCUGAAAGUCACAUCGUUUUUCAUGCCAGGUAUUGAUUCCUGACAAGCCCUUGUUAGUUUUUGGAGCGCAGUCGCCAUGGCGAGGAGUUGUAUUCCCAUCUGCUAUGGUCACUCUGGUGCUUCGAACAAAAGCUCCAUACACAUAUUCUGAGCAUUGCAGCUGGAAUGAGAGUAAACCGAUUUCAAGAGACAAUUUGGUUGCAACAUAAUAACUUGUAAUGCUUUUAUAUAUUUAUUGAGUUUACACUAUUUAUUUUGUUUGUUUAAAUUCAUAGUUGUUUUAGUAUUGUAACCAAUAUCCUCAGUGAUAUCGGUUUCAAUACGGAUACUCUUUGCAUCCAUCACCUCAUUUCGGAGAAAAUAAAUACAUUGCAUAAACAAAUUUAUUCCUCAAUCCUGGAGGAGUGAAGUAAAAGUAAUGAAUGUGUUCUUAACUGUAUUCAGCAGAACAUAAAACUCGGGUAAACUUUUACCAUUUGUCUUCAACUCUAAAAGUUGUGCGGCUCCGCUACAAGGCGGCUUUGCCUCCCUGUUUUAAUUUGAUUCCCUCCACGCUUUGCGUACCUUUUCAACGUAAGCCAUUCGGAACUAGACUCCGAGUGAAGAUCAUGCAAACAGAAGCAACUUUAUCACUUCCAAUUCAUUUUUAAAUGUAUUACCGACUGACCCCCUAAACACAAUCUUCAGCUUUGCUUGAACAGCUCUUUAUAGAAAAACAAGGAACUUAUUUCAGUUUGAGUCAAGUACACCCCACCCCGGGGCAAAGAUUAUAAAUAACAUUAUUAUCUGGAAAUAUUCCUUCACGGAGGCUGGAGCGUGCUGGUUGCCUUAAGCUCUCUGAGGCACCCGCUGAAAAAUGUUUCCAACAUCGCAAUUCUACAAGAUUUAUGUUGUUCCAGCAAGAUCCGGGCUCGACUUGCAGAUAAAAUAAGCUUGUUGUAAAUAAAUCUAAUGGUAAUUUACCAACGGUUUCCUGUCAGAGAUUUGGAAAAAGCCUUGGGUUUCUUAAGGGUCUCUGUUUUUCAUACAUGUCCUGCAGGCUGAGAGCCUCUGGUCUCAUGUUUAGCUGCCUGUGCCUUGGGGCAUACAAACCCUUUUAUCUUGUCACCCUAAUGCACGUGUAUGUGUGCGAGGCGGAGGGAGAGGGAGCAUGUGAGGGAGAUUGAAGGAUCAAUACUAAGCCGUCAGGAGGUCUGCUACUCCCAGAGACACAGAGAGAGAGAGAGAGGGGGGGGGCACCCAGAAGAGAGUGGUGAACGAGAACGUAAUAGAGAAAGGGAAGAGGAAGAGGAAGAGACAAAGGGAAAGAGGGGGUGAGGUGGCUGGGAAGAAGGGCAGCCACAGGAAAUGUAUGGAGAUGGAAACGGAGAGCAGAUUUGGCUGGUGAUAAAUUAACCGAUGCAAGGGAGACGGGAAAAACAGAGAGGGUGAAGAUAUAAUGCAGGUGGAAAGAAAAUGAAGACAGGGAAAGAGGAGGUGAGGAAAAGGGAAGCUGCUGGUCUACAGGGAGCGCAGUACUUGUUACAGCUAAAGAGAGGGGGAACUUAACAUUAUAAUGGGAUGAGAAACAAGAUACACGUUACGUUUUGGCUCCCUCUCUGGGUUCUCCACAAGGGUAUGGAGACACAUUCAUGUAGAGCACACGGGGGGCUACCGGGCUCGCGUUGUUUUGCAUUGGAGGGCAGCAGUGGUACGGCGUGCGCUGUGACUUGUUCAUCACGUGUAUUCAAUUAGAAUUCAAAAUGAUUACGCUAUCAUAAAGUAGGGAGUUGGACUUAAAGGAGUAGUCGAGGGUUUGGCGAGAUGUGCCGCUAAUUAAAAGCUUGCACUUUAAAGAGGCCAAAACAUGCAAGAUGUACAAUAUAUUUCAAAUAUAACAAAACGGUCUCAAAAGUGACUGCUGGGCUCCGAGGAAGAGAGCUUCAACUUGUUAGAUUCAAGAGAGAAAUUGUCCCGUUGCCAAAAACUCACAAAUUUGAUCCUUCAAAAUGUGUCCAUCAAAAUGUCAGGUGUCCUGUUGAAGUGCCAGACAGCCAAUCGCUGUGCAGCGUGCAGGAUGCAAAUGCCCGCAUGUGUACUUCUUCGUAUUCCCUGCGCAUGCAGUAAUAGAGAAUGAAUAUCGGCUGUUCAGAGCAUGUUUUCUCCCAGCGAGCCUCACUGCGCCCCGAGUCCACACACUUUAACUUCUUUCGACUCCAGUGGGAUUCAAAGUUUGAUCUCUGGCCGUGUUUGUUUCAUGCAGAAGCUCCAGCACAAAAAAACAAAACUAAGAGUAUUUAUAACAUUGGUCUUGAUGCAUAAUUCAGUUGACAUAAACAUGAAAUGAGGGGGGCAAACGAAACUGUAUCCCACAAGAUCUAAAAGCCUUGCCUUGACACCCAUAAUGAAUAUUUAAACCUUGAUGACCCUACGCCGGUACGUCUGUGAAUGAUUUACACUUCUGCCUCACGGAUGGCUAUUUUUAUACCUUUUUGUCUUUUUUCUUUUUCAAAUUCCCGUAUCACAUCUUUUUAUCGUCUUCUCUUUCUUCUUCUGAGAAGACAGAUCGCAGUAAGACAGGAACCUGUCGGGUGCCGAAGAAACCCGUGCAAGUAAAAGAAAAGGGGGAAAGAACUAGAAAGAAAAGACCACAUCUUGUGAUCAUCUUUGACUUAUCUGUGAAUAUCAUCAGCUGUAAUCAUCUUUCCGCAAUAUAUUUCACCCCCCGAUGAUUAAGUUUCUUAAUGGGCCCUGGGAAUAGUAUUAUUUAAUGUAGGGGAAUAGGAUGGAGAAUAAUACCCCAUUAUUAAUAAAUGUAUUCCAGAUGAAGAAUUUCAAUUGUGAGUUUCCUUAUACUUGGGCCCAUAAUGACCCUGUAGGUUCCUUCAUAAAAGAAAUGACUCCGAGGCAUAACACCGUUUUUCACAGUGAAGCAAAGGGAUGGAACGAAACAUCUCUUCUCCCACUAAUGCUUCAUCUGGUUUGUAGCGUGAUCGGUAAAGGGUGAUAGGCUUUUUAUGCCUUGAAUACAGAAUUUACAGAAUGGUUUUCUCAUGCUGGUUGGCGAGUCACUGUGCAGGGGUCCAAACAGGUAAUGAUAAUUUCGUAUGAUGGGUGCAAAAAUUAUGAAAACCCACAUGUUUUAAGUUUGGGCAUAGCCCAUAUUUUCCUGAAAGGACAAUGCCAGGGUUGGUUUUGGGUGCUCUGCUUUAAAAAGUGCACAAUAAAUAAAGGUAAUCCUUUCAAUUGCGCAUUGAUUAAACCCUUAAAUGUCUGUGUGUCAAAUGCAGCACUUGUUAAAUUGUGUAUAUGUAUAUUAUAAACUAUGAGCCGUAUCUGAAACCGUAUCAAACGCAAAGAAAAUCUAAUUUUCUUUCUAAACAUUUUUUAUCGAAUCUUUUAGAUCCACAUUUCGCCAAUGUUUUACCUUUUUGGCUUAUUUUAAUGACUUAGCACAACAUUUGACAUAUCUGUUUUCCUUUGGUAAAUAAAGUAAAUUGAAUUUGAAAUCGUUAUAUAAAGAUUAAAUGAUAAAAUGAGAUGACACCGCUCAACGCUCACUUGUUUUAUUAUAUACCAGGAAAAAAAGGCUCAGAAAUGGAAUAAUAGCAGAUCACUGCAACCAGCCCUUCUCAUACCUAACAGCACUAUCAGUCUUACAUGCCUGUCUAGGAUUAGACACAUCUAGUUAUGAAGACCAACAGCCUCAUUUACAACAGAACAUGGCUCUGCAACCUGCAUCCAUCUCUCUGUUUGUCUCAAGGUUAGGGCUCACAGGGGAGGAGAGGCAUCAGGUUACACUAAUGCAUCAUGGCUGCUGGAGGACACACAUGCACAGGCCUCGUCAGCCACUGUCUCACCCCGUCUCGCCUUCUCUUUCCCCCCUUACACACAAACACACACGCCCUGGUGAGCUGAAACCCCCCCUUUAGUACAGGUCUAAGGGCACACUGUGGCCUUGCUCCAUCGUGCCCUUGUAACCUGCGAGCAGUCUGCCGUCGGUCCGCUGGGCAAAUCACUUGUCUCUAAAAAUAAACUGAAAGCAUCACUGAAGGCCUGGCUGAGGUUAGAGCGAGAAAGAGAGAGGAGAAGAACAGGACACCCAGGAGAGAGUGGAGAGGGAGAACGUAAUAGAGAGAGGGAAGAGGGUAAGAGAGAGAGAAAGAAUAUUAAGUAUUACUCUUCUUCAGUCUAUUUUAUACAUUUAGGACAAACUCCAACACUUUGAAGUAAUGUACAAAAGGGGCAGCAUCGCUCACCAAUCAAUUACCAGUUAAUCUUGACGGGAGGGGGAAGCAAAGAGCUGAUAUGGUAUUAUUGACACACCUACACUAUACAUGCUGAGGCUGCAUUACUCCUGUUUAUAAUGCGUUUGGCCCACUCUGGCCUCCUUUCCAGUGUUUGUCACAGUGUGCAGAGAUUGCUGUUGCUCAUUAAGUCCUCCAAAUUGCAGUUGUGUUCUCACUCAAGCAGAAUCUUAAUCUUCAUCUCUGCAUCCAUUUAGCUUCCUAUCCAUUAGUACGGAAAUGGUUGGUCAAUUAACGCAGUUAUUUUUCAGGUACUUUGUAUUUUCUGUAGUUGGUUGGAUCAACAUCCGCAGCGGAUUUCUUUUACUACUUUAAUAUAGCUUAAUGAUUUAUUAAUCAGAACUAAUUGGAACGUUCACAAAAUUUUCAUUACGCACUUUUUUUUAUUUUAUGUUCUGGCUGGGUCCCGUUCCAUGUCCCAGAAGUUGAAGGCAAAACAGCAGUGUUAAGUCCAUACAGCAUUGGUAACACACUUUAACACACCGUCAUCAGAUAAAAACCAAUGCGCAUUCACGCAGACGGAGAGAGAGGCCUCCUCUAGGGAUCAAAUGCCCGUCCACGGUGCCCUGUGAGCAACCAGCGAGUUAAAUAUCCGUCAGAACACCGACCAUUGACCUCUAAUAUUAAGAAAAGACUAGGGUUCAAAGGGGUCAUAUCCCCCCCCUGAAUGUCAUUCCCUUCUUUCCACACACAUGCACUUAUACACACACACACACCCCCACACACUCUCUCCCUGGUGCAGUGAGAGGGCCUUAUUGUGUAAGCCGGAGGAAAUGCAGAGACAUUGCAGAGGACAGGGCAUCCAUUGAUCCGACUAUAGACUCUUCUCCUACUCAGCCUCUCCUCUCGUCGCUGCCUUUUUUUUUUUCUAUCCCAACCCUUCGCUUUCUCUGCUCUUUGUGUUAUCAGCACUCCACUCUCCUAUAGUUUUUGUCUCCCUGUGAUCCACCACCCCCUCUUCCUCUAUAUUAUUGCUUUCACUCUCCAGGCCAUUUCUGCUCCCCUCUGUCUCUCUCUCUGCCUUCUCAUGCCAUGAUUUCUCCCUCUCCGCAUCUCUUUAUAAUCUCCAUCUAACCAAAAACUCCUCCUUCCUCCUUCCUAUUCACUUAUCUUCUCUUCAACUUCCCUUCCAUCUCUUAAAUGACUUACAUUUGUCCCUCUGUCUCCAACUAGUCAUGCAACUUUGGAGCAGAAACUUAGUUGGAAACAGAAAGUGGAUCAUGGGGACGAGAAGGAUCAUGAUAACAAGUGAGCAAAGGAAGCUUGUGUGAGAAAGUGAAAAUAAUGAAGGGAUGACAAGCAACUGAAGGGUGUGAGGAUGGAAGAAAGAAAGGAAAGGAGGAAGGAAAUCAGCUUGACCACAGGUAGUAUAUGUUAAAUGGUGUUGGAGCAGUGCCAUUAAAAACAGGCACAGAGCUGAACAGGAAGAAGUGAUUUAGUGAACACACACUCACUCAGUCACACACAGCGUGACUUCAUAGGAACCAUGAGGUGGCUAGUAGGAACCAUGAGGUGGCUAGUAGGAACCUUAAGGUGGCUAUUAGGAACCUUAAGGUGGCUAUUAGGAACCUUAAGGUGGCUAUUAGGAACCUUAAGGUGGGUAGUAGAAACACUGAGGUGGCUAGGAGGAACCUUAAGGUGGCUAGUAGGAACACUGAUGUGGCUAGUAGGAACCCUGAGGUGGCUAGGAGGAACACUGAGGUGGCUAGUAAACCCUCCUGCUUUGUACAUCCCUUCUCAUCUCUCUGACUUUUUGCCUCCUCUCUGUCCUUACCUCCCUCGCCGCUUGCAUGAUUCCUUCUUCACCUCCACCUUCUCCCACCCUGUCUCCAUCUCUGCUUCUGGCACUCCCCCCCUCCUCCCUCCUUCCUCUUUGCCCUGCUCCCUUCCUGCUGGACAGGCUUUUAUUUGAGCCAUGUGGACCUCCCUAAUGACAUGUGGACCUUGGUGUGUGUGUGUGUGUGUGUGUUUCUCUGCGAGAGUUGUAGGUGCUGACAUGUGCAUGCGUGCAUGUGCACGUGUGCUUGAUGUGCUGACGCACGUGUGUGUAUGUGCGAUGGAGGUGCUGACAUGUCUGAUCGUCGUGUAGUUCUCCCACUGAAGUUCUGCCGACGGCCUCUUACCUUUGAACAGGCCAGUGAAGGGGAGGGGGGGGGUAAGAAAAAAUACCGGAGCACUAUGCCAGAAAUGUGAAGAGAAGCAGAGGGAAGGAGGGAGGACAAAGUGAGAGAAGAGAAGGGGUGGUAAGUGGGACAUUGUUACAGUAAUUAACACAGAUGAGAGAAUGGGAAGAAGGGAGAACACAAUCGGGUGGUUCUCGCGGCGCACACAGGGUGCCGGAGAUCACGCGUGUCCCUGAUCAGAGGGACUCCGGGAGACGAGGGUGGGUGGGGGGGUGGGUUUGUUGGUUGGUGUCGUGGUGGUGGCACCGUGAAAUGAGCCUUGUUGGAAGAUGACGGGUCUUACAGGGCCCCCGUCUAGAGCUUGUGUUCUAAGCUACUACCAAGAAGUUUACUUCACCAAAACGCACCUACCAACUCCCCAUGGACAAAAGGUACUUUUCUAAAGCCGUUCUUUUCCGAUAGUAACCAGCACUUUCCACAGUGGUUGAGUGUUUUAGGAAAGCAUAGGCAGCUUCUUCAAAUGACUUUAGCCCAAUUAGUGGCAGUGCACAUGUAGCAGAAAGAGGAAAACCGGCAAACAUUAAAGAGUUCACACAUAUGGUUUGCAUCUUUCUUAUUCUAUUCAAUUAAAACUGGCAGCAAUUAGAAUCUCGAGAACCGUUUCACCUGUGAAUUCAGCCGUCCACACACUAUUUCAUCUCCUCCGCGAUAGUCAUCGAUAUUUUCAAUGAUUAACAAAAUGUAACGCAUAGUUUAAUACACAAAACCUAUGAUUGGUCAAAAAAGAUUCAAUUCUUAAUUUUGGACUUUAAGGAAUGCCAUUUGUAUACAUUCAGUGGGAUAAAUGGGAAUAUGAUUAAACGGCGCGAGGUGUGUGAGCAGAUGUCUUGAUAUGGUUUUACUUCAGCUCAUCACGACUUCUAAAAUUCUACAUUCAAACGUGGAAGUGUGCGAGAAGAACAAAGCUUUAAAUUUUUCAACGUAUCAUGCAGUGAGUGAUAGACAUUCAAAUGGUCAUUUAGUGAAUAAAACAUUCUUUUGCAGAAAAAGCUCAGAAGGAAUUACAAGAACCAUUGUAUGGUCCCAAAAGCAGAGAAUCUUAUGAAAGAGAGAGGAAGAAAAUGCUUUUCUGGGUUCAAGUCAAUAGCAUUGCUGUGAGAAAGAAAGUCCAUGGAAGACUGUAUUGAAUGGAUAUCGACUAGAAUGGGAAAAUCAUUGAACAAGUGUCCAGCAGAGGAUGUGAACCAAAGAGAGAGCCGAGAUGAGAGCUGCAGGGACAUGUUUUGGUCAGUAUUUGUCUUUUUAGGGACAUUUUGAUCUCCUUGGAGGUUGAUUAUACCUAUAAGACCAUCACAGUGGUUUAAUGUUUAUAUGGAUGUCUCCAUAUGUUUAUCUUUUUGCAACAUCUGCCUGUUUCCCAGACUAAUCUAUCAAGUGCAACACCCACUUGCGGUGUUAUGUUGAUUAAACCGAUCAAGAAUACCAUUAAAGGCGGUACCCUGCAGCGCGUACGCUAUAUGACCUUUAACUAUCUAGUGUAUCUAUUUGUUGAAUUUUUUCUUCUCCACACAUAUAGUACAGCCACCAGGGCACCGUCAGGCUUUGCUAUGUGUACCUUGAAGAACGAGAUGCCUCCUCAAAUGACUGGAAUCCAGUUGGUAUUCUCGACUGCCCUCUAUGUGCGAUUGUAUAUUACCAAGGAUCGGUCUGAUGACGCUCCGUAUGAUUGAAAUAACACGGCAUCUCUUUGUAGUUCCAGCCCCAUGUUUAAAAGACAAAAGGAAAGAGAGAUAACAGAGACUGCUUCGUCUGCUAUAAUGGACUCUCGCUCAACAGAAUGCCAUAUGGAUCCUGCAAAGCACCCAUCAAAUGCACACUACAAGAACCCGAGAAGUCCAGAUUAAAAGCCUGUGAUGCUGCCUGAAAAGGAGAAAACCAAAGAUUGUGAACUGACUGUUUAAGUGCAGUAUACAUGUACUGUAUUUAUUACUGUAUACUGGGUAAAGUCCCUCGUGUCCCUGUUGCUCACACGCGACUUUGGGGUCCCAGAAGUUGGUGUAGGAAAUGUUUGACAGUGCGGCUAGUUAACAAUGAUUGAUGCCCGUAGCCCUCUCAGCUGUUAAGGAGAGAUGAGGGGAAGCAAGUGAUGCAAGGCGGAUUGGAAGCUGCCUGCUGGCAUCUGACUUUAGGAAUGGUGAUUAAAAACACAUUAUGACAAAGGCAACAUCUGGCGGUGCAUUCAGAUCCUCAGAACAGUAGUGCACUGCUACGUUACCUUGGCAUCACAUGCACAGUGGAUGAAAGGUGUGCUCCAAACAAUGAAAAACAAACAAAGAAGUUUUGAAUUAAAGUCCCAUUUUGUCUGCUCGGUGGUGCUUUCGGCAAACUGAAAACAAUCCCCAAAUAGGCUAAUUAGUUUCAUUAUUGUGUUAUUUGGAUUCAUUAACUUAAGUUUAACUCAACAUUUGUACUUUAUGUAGUUAAUAAUAUCAGUCAGUCAAUUACUCUCUGGCUGGUAAAUUAUUUUAACAACUUGACAUAAGGGGAUUUUUCCUCCAAUUAAUGUUCAUGGAAUACAGCGUAAUCUUUGCUGUGGUUUAUUUGGUUCCCCAGGCCAAGAUCGUUACAUGUAACCUAUCAGCACCAUGGAAAAAAAAUGUAAUUAAAAGCAAAAUAUAGUCUGACUAAUGGGAACAAUUUACUUUGAUGACACGCCACAAAAGACAGCAUCUGUUCUGGCGCUGAUACCCGAGGGCUGUGAGCUCAGCGCGCCAUCCUGACAAAGCAUGCGUGAACGAUUGUCAGCAGGAGUUUCUACUCGGGAUCAGAUGACAUUUUGUGAAAGUCAGCCGUCACCUCAUGAAAUCGCUGAAGACAAUCUAGUCAACAUCAUUAGAUGGACGUGUUCACUCUGAUCUGAACACGUCCUGACCUGAAAAAUUAGACUACAGACGCAAUGCUGUUGAUUCUGCGUUGUGUUUUCUGUGAAUGAUCUUGAAGCUGGGGGAUAGUUGUUUUUUUUAUGCAAAACACUGCUGGUUCGAAUGGGAUUUACAACCUUUGACAUGAAGUCAAUUACUUACCAUAACAACAAAGGGCCAUGAAAGAGAGAAACAUAGAGGCCGGUGUCGUAGACGACUGUUGCAAUGCAGCAAAUAUAAUUUUGUUGCGUAUGCAAGUUGGACACAUUGAAAGGUUCACUGCAGUAGAAUUAAAAGCCUUGACACGGUUACACCGUUUGUGAAGAAGGUUUGUUUCUGAAUUGUACUCGUGAAUGUUGAAAAGGUGUGCGGUGAGGAAAGCGCCUCAUCCUUCUCUCGUGCUACGUCUUUAGCUUUAACUCCCCACCCGCAGUGGUAGUUGGGCCAACGUCAAGCGUGGACUGACACGCCGCCCAUGACGUGUCCACAUCUGCAGGUUUAAGUGGGGAGCCACAGCAUGGAGCGUAGUUUGAAUUACUGUAUUUGAGGCAUUUGGGUGAGAAUGUGUUGUCCCUUGUUUCACUAAAAAGGCCGUUUGAAGGAAAGAAACUGAAUGGAAAGCCAACCUAAUGAUGUGCUCCUCUUGUUCGCUGACAAUCUGUUAUAGAAUUUUGCGAUAUACACUGACAGCUUUGUCAGUGCUACUCAAGCAAGAGGAGGUAUUAAGGAGCAACGUGUUGUGACUCAUCAGUGGGCGACUGUCUCACUCUGCUGCGAUGAAUUAAAUCGGGUUCAUUGAAACGGUGUCCUUCUUUCCCACUUAGGCCUUUGUUAUAAAGUUGUAAAUCCACAAGACGGUUCGGGUAAUCAAACAUGUUAGUCGAACUAUGAUGCGAGGUUCAGAUAAGGUUUAUUUUUAUAUGCGGACAGGAAAGAGGAAUUGUAAACUACAUGCUCAAUAGUGUGUUCAAAGUCAAUUUAUAGUUCAUAUUGUACUCUGAUAUCUCCUCACGAUCUCGUGUGUGAAAUAGGUCUAUUGUGUGUAAGUUGAUGCGCGCGUCACAAUUCUCAUUGAGCGCCUCAAAUCAGAUGCCACUUCAUCGAUAGGAUAUUUCACUGCCUAAAGGGGAAAAAAGGAAAGGAUUGAAGUGAGUAUGAAACUGACCAGAAUAUGUCGGCCAAUUGGAGCUUGAGAUUGGAGCAAUCGGAUGCAGAUGUUGUCAUCUGGUUGAAAAAAAUAGCUGUAAAUGAAAUAUGAUUUUUAAAUGUUCUGAUGUAUGAGAAUGAAUGGAAACAGAUACUCAUCCCGUCUCAACCAUUUUUUGUGAGAAACUAAUGGUUGUGUGAUUUGCUCAAAGACCCUUUUACCCGCGGACAGAAGGAGCCGGGGCGGGUUAUAAUAUAUAACCGCUAACUUUGUCGUGAAAGGACGACUCUGCUCAAUGAGACACAACCAUCAAGCCAUUGUUUGGCGUAUUGAAGUAUUGAUAUUCAAUGAUCCCUUCUUUCAAAAUGUCAGAUUCUACUGUAGAAUGAUGACACUUUUAAUGUCAUGAUUAUGCCAUUACAGCUCUUUAUUAAGGUAAUUGAUUACUUCUGCUCUAAAAAAAUAAGUAGUUCUGUGACGUUGGCCUGUUCCUUGGACAAAUGAGCACUUGACGAUUUCCCUUUUUGGUCCCUGGAAAACAGACUUUUCUCCAUGCUCCGACCUUUUAUUGACCUUGUAAUUAUUCAUUCAUCCAAAACAAUUAUGCCAUGAAUUUUAUGAGAGCGCUGCUGCAGCUGUUGGAAAUUAGGCUCAAAAAGUAAUAUAAGAAAUUGCCCGGUUGGUCUCGCCGAGUGGCGAAGUUUAAUUCGUCAUGGUCUUAUUGAAAGUGUUCGCACACACGGAUACAACCGCACACGGUCACAGCCGUACAAACAUAAUGAUAUGGAUUUGCAGCCUGCACACACGCACACACACACACACACACACACCUCUGGGACCCGGCCUGGGUCUCUAUUGUAAAUGAUGCAGUUCGCCUGUGUGAGCUGUGGUUGAGUUAGUAGCUAAUUAGUUUGGCACGCCAGCCUUCUUCCCAGGACCUGUGUGUGUCUGUCUGUGUGUCUGUCUGUGUCUGUGUCUGUGUGUGUGUGUGUGUGUGUGUGUCUGUGUGUGUGUGUGUGUGUGUGUGUGUGCUGGAGGUGCAGUGGGGGGUUUAAUCCUCUUUACUUGUUGUUCUACACCACUGCCACCCCCCCGAUUCUUUCUGUUUUCUUUGCCCCUUUCUCCACUUCUUUUGGCUUUGUCUUUCACCAUGUUUGCGUUUUGUCCCCUCUCUGCCUGUUCCUCCCCUUUUGUCCCUUUUUUUUAAUCUUCCCCCUCUAUUACUUUCUCUCCCUUUCCAUGCCCUGCACCCCCCCCCCCCAUUUUAUUUGCUUCUCCCUCUGACCCUUGUUAUUUCCCCUCUCCAUCCAUCUCCUGUAUUUAAUGAAAGUCCCUGUUAUUGGACUAAUCCAGUGGUGGAGUGUUCUCAGUGUCUCCCUCGCUUCAUUCCUCCGUAUCUCACCGCUCAUCCUGCAUCUUUAGAUUUCCCUCUCACCCUCCACUAAUGGAAGUCCCCCCCCCUUCCCCUCCGCUAUCUUUGUAAUCCAGUGUCUCCUUGCCUCCACCUUUCUGUUGCUCUUUCUUUUCCUCUUCCCCUCUGUAGACUAAUGAAAGUCUGUGGUGUUGGUCUAAUCCCCUGGCUGUGUGCUCACAGCCCCUUUGUUGGUCAAAUCUGACUAAUGCCCUCCGUCUCAGUCCGCAGCACAGCAGCCUCUUACCUCAUUCCUCACACACACAAACCCUAUGGGGAAUAUUAUGAUUUUUGUAGAAAGUGUAUGUGUCUUUCUCUUGUUUGAUAAAGACUCGACACGGCGUCCAAUUGGAGAAACACGCAACACCAUGUCGGUUUUCUACUUUCACACUCAAGCAAUUCAUAUCGAGAGUUGAAGCAACACAGUGGAGUGCUGUUUAAUUUACUUUAUUCUCAUUUUUUAAUCUCCACUGUGAUUAAAGACGUUCAGCAUCCUACAUCUCCACUGAGUAGUGGUCCAUGCUAUGUGCAUAAAUAAUGAAAAUGAAUAAAUUAAUGCAUUUGAAUAAUGCCUGUAUUUUUCAUGUUCUUCUUUAAGGGGAAAUUACUGUAUUUUCUUGAUGAAUUUGGACUCUCAAACAGUGGACUUUUCUGAUAUAAUGUCUGUGAAUGUGUGGUCUGUGCUACAAAACUAUAAAUCCAACAGUACGUCUUUGCGUCCAUGAACUGCCUGCAGCAGCAUCGUAGUAGCGACAGCAGGCCGACCCUGAUACCCCCCCCCCCCUCCUCCCAGGAUCAUUUCCAACAUCGCCUUCAUCACUCAUGGCCAUAACUUCAUUCGGGCGGUAAGCAGAUUGACCCUCCGAUGACUGCUCUUAUUAAAGGGCAGACGGUGACCUCAUCUCACCCCCGUCAUCCUUUUGCCAUGUUAAUGGUUUGUAUUGACGGACUGAUACUCUGACACACGUGUACUUGUUUUAGUCAAUGUCCCACACAAAAAUGUGCGCAUGAUAAAUACAGUACGCGCUGCAUUGUGUUCCAUAUCGAUUGAUCUUAGUGCGCCGGCAGCGUGGCAUCAUUGACUGUGGCCGUGUGUCUCAUGCACAGGAAAUGGUACAUGGGAGCGUGCGUCUACUUCUAGUGCGUGCGGGUGUGCGCAUGCCCUCGUGUGCGUGUGUCAAAGAGUUCGCUCUUACACAAUCCUGACAGUGUUUGUAAUAUUUUGGGCUCAUUGAAUCGCCUGUUUAUGGAGUGUGCAAUAAAUCAUGACUAAACAUAACCAAACACAAGUGUGUGUUUAUCAGCGAGGGAACGCCGUUUCAGGCCUUGCACAUUUUUGGCUGUGAGUGCGACACCGAGGUUAAAUUGCUUCAGUCGUGGUGAAACUACGUUGAAAUUGAGCUCUAAAGCACAUUUGAGGCUUUGCCGUAUAAAAUGUAUGUAUGAAGUUCUGUUUCAGGGAAGCCAUGCGAUUGGAUUUGCAGAAGGGCGGCCAGACCAACAGUGUGGGAGCCGCUAGGUUCACACGUCUCCAAAUCACUGGGUACAGAAACCCAGCUACUGGUAUGAACAAAUUAAGACUGGUCACUGGUCAGUACCAGGUGACAAGAACAAAAAGUGAGCCAUUAGCUGUAAAACAUUUUCUCACAGGCUAAAUUCAGCAUAAUGCUUAAAUCCACCAGUACAACAAUAGUCAUAUUGUACUCAUCUAUUUUUGAAGAAAAGUAUUUCUUUAAACAAAUUUUAUGCAUAUUUCAUUUCAAUUCCUUCUACCUUUCAGUUUUAUUAAAGAUUCUGCAAGUGCCACCCGACACAUUGUGUGGAUGUUUCACAAUAACAUCUUAAACUAAAGGAGGGAAUUUGCAUCUUGACUCACUUGAAAGGUUCUCAUGUCAAGCAUCUGUGUUUAUUUAUCUAACAGCGAUAAAGCAAUUUUAGUAGAUUGGAAUCAAGUGAAUCCGACUGCUAGUUGCAUUUGUAUUCCUGAAUUUGUCAAGAUAACGGGUAAAUAUCUAACAUGUUUUUAUUAACUGUAAAAUGCUACCAGGCGCAAAUUGUAGCAGAAUAGAACAGGAGGGUACACAAAAGUAUGAAUAAAGGUCUACUAAAUGUAAAGAUGUCAAUCAGAAUUAAGAUUCGGGAAGUAGAAUGUGCACACAGACAAUUUAACAAUGUUAAAUAAAAAGAGAUUUGUAUAGAGAUAAAGGAUUUAGAAUUACAGGACAAAAGUAAGCAGAGACACAGUGGUCAAACAUAAACAACAUCCACAUGCUAUAGAAGCUAUUCUCCAUCCUUCAUUUUUAAGAAAUUCAAAGGUGACAAAACUAUUAUUUUUCCUGUGACAUUGGUGCUGACACAUCCACUUUAUAUCAGAGGAAUUCCUGUUUUUGAAGUCCCGACACGUACUGUAGAUGUUGUAAUAUUUCCCCAGGCGCCAACAGUCCUCGCACCACCCAAGACAAAUGGCUGACAGUUGAGGUUUUUUUGUUAUCGUUCUUCAAAAUUAGACAUCAUUUGAAAACACCUACUCAGUUCUAAAAGCACAUACGUAAAAUAAAUUACACACGGCAUAUUUUAAAGAACAGCUGCAAUUGUAGUCUCUUGUCAACAUCAAUAAUGUUUACAGCCUUGUCCUAGAUCCACUUGCUAUGCUAAAUGAUCCACUUCAGUUAAUUGUUUUCUUUCCAAGAAUGAAUAUGAAACAUCCAGAGAUUAAGCUCCGAGCCAAACACCGCCUCGACUUUUUUAAGCGCUAUUCAUUUGAACUAGAAUUUCACAUCAAAUCAUGUUUCAAACUUUUCAAUCCUCUGAUUCUACUUUGUGCUUCCAGUGAAUGUAGAAGACCGUAUUUCAAACCAGAUCCCCUCAUGUGGGAAGUUAAAUAUGUACAAGUCAGCCAGAGGUGAAAUCCUUCCCUGCCAGGGGAGAUCUCCAGCUUACAGGGUCUCAGGCAAGACUCCUCUGAUUCAUGAUGGGUGUGUAGAGGGAGCGAGCAAAUGUCUACGUGUGUGUGUGUGUGUGUGUGAUCAACAGAAAUAUAUGGCUAUAAAUGGUUUCAUCCUUUGAGGCAUCGACGGGUCUUCCUGUUUCUCCCAAUAUUUGGAGGAACUAGUUAACCGUAAUAAAAAAUAAUGCCAAUGGUAACAACAGAAACUCAAAAACUCCACCUCGCUAGAGUUGACGUCAACUGGUUAGUCAGAAAGUGAAAGGCGGCGGGGGUAAGGUAAAGAGGGGUGGAACUCAUGAGGUGGAUCCCGUGAGACAGGCCAGGUCAGCUGGGACUCAACAUGGGGGCGGCGAGAGACCCAAGCCCCCCGGCGUGGAGAGCACAAGCACCCGGGACUAUAAGAUGCGGCGGGUGAGAGGUGUCUGGUUCCACAGAAGCUCCUUUCAUCCCAUCUUGCAGGUAAAAACCCCCCACUGUGGAGCGAAGCAGAGAGAAUAACUUGAGAGAAGGAUCGCUAAUCCACCCCGACGGCCUGCAGGCUCUGGGAUUUGGGACUAUCGCUUACCGUGAAGUAGGAGCAGGAGCAGGUCGAGUUAGGGCGCAAGCAUCCCUCGUAAAUGGUAAAUGGACUGUACUUGUAUAGCGCUUUUCUAGUCUUCUGACCACUCAAAGCGCUUUAACACUACAUGACAUCAUUCACCCAUUCACACCCAUUCACACGCUGAUGACACGAGAACCACACACAGUGACACCUGCCCAUCAGUAACUAACAUUCAUACGCUGUAGUCGCAGCUACAGGAGCAAUGUUGGGUUAAGUGUCUUGCCCAAGGACACAUCGACAUGCGGGUUAGCCAAGCCUGGGAUCGAACCGACAACCCUCUGAUUGGAGGACGACCGUGCUCCCCACUCACCCACAGACGCCCACAGGAAAGCAUCGUGUCUUUCCUGUCAGUCAGCCCAGCGACGCUAUUACGAUACGGCAAAUAUUGUGCCCCCGCGGCGCUCUCCCUUUUUCUGUCUGGGUUUCAAUCCAAGCAGGUUUAUCCUCUCCUCGACCGACUUCGGCUUGCUCGCCCUCUUUGUACGCACGCCGCCUCCCAAUCUCUUCCUCCCCAUCGUUCUCCACCAGCUUCGUUAAUGCUCCUCUAUCUUGAAGCCUCACAGGGAGCUAAUUUAGCUGUGAACUUUGUUCCGGCUGUCAAUUCACAAAAGGGACGUUGCAAAGAGUUAAGCAGAUAUGGCAGUCAGAGACCCAUAGGGGGAGCGUUCAUGAGAGAUUAGUGGCGUAUGCUCAAAUAUUAGUAUUAUUUUUUUGUUGUUGUUUUUUUCAUAUAAUGAAAUGAUUUAUUCAUUUUCAUUUCCAGUAACGUCUGUUCUAGAUCACAUGCAAGAAUGGUCCGCAGCUCCAAUUAAGGCAACGGAGCCAUUAAAGCAAUUUUGAACCAGACCAGUGGACCUUAAAACACAGAGCAGCUCAACACAGCAACAUCUGUGAUUACUAACAAAGCUCAGAAUGCUCUGUUAGAUAUUCAGGCUUUUUUAAUGCUUAAAGGAAAUAUGUGAAAUGAAAUGUUAAACAUUGUUAGAAGUAGGUAGAAGCUCAAUGAGAAAUGUUGUUGUCAAAGCUUUACGCCAUCUGCUUACUAUCGUCCGUACAAUCGGCCGAAACCUCGAGCUAUUCUUUUGAAGCAGCUGUGUGGUGUCGUAGAAUGCAGUAAACAAUAAAACAAAUUCUCAUUGAUGGUAAAAACGUGUAUAUGUUUGCCGACAUUGUGGUUUCUUCCUGUGGUGCCCAGGAAGGAAGUCUAAAUUAGUCAUUGUUCGUGGUGCAGCCGAUCAUGUCAUUACACAGUUUAAUGUUAACUACCCCAGUGUAAAGUUAGGUUUUACUGACAUCCUUAUCUGCUGAUCUUUAUCGUUUACACUAUUUUAGUCUUUGAUCUCCGAUAAUGUUACACAAUGGUCACUGAUAGUUUGUUUUAGGUGAAAGUUAAUAAAAAAUCAUAUAACUAAUUACAACAUUUGUUGUUUUAAUAAAUAGAAAUAUGUUUGAUUUUUUUUUUUACAUCAUCUGAACAUGUUUUUAUGAGAACCCUCCAACUAUUACUAUGACUUCAUAGACCAGUUGUUGUAACCAAAGGAGAAAAAAGGAUCUCUAUCCACGCAAAUGGAUCAUCAAUGACAAUUAGUACCAGCAGCAAAACAACUUUUUGCUGCUAGUUUUUCUUUUUUCCUUCUGAUCCAAACAUGUGAUCUGAUCCAUGACUAUGAUUGUGAGUCUUAUGAUCACAAUCAUCUGUUGGCCAUACCCAUGACUAUGUGGUUGUUACCCUGCUGGGACAGGGUCCAAUUCCUGCAUGGAAACUACUGAUGAUAAGGCAUCCGGUGGAUCGGGCUUCUGGGAAGGUCCACCUGGAUUUAAGGAGGGAUUAUUGGGAUUGAGCAUAUAUUAGUUCUGAAUAUAAAUCCCAGUUUGGCUAUCUUGCUACUGCUUCUGGGUAGUGUCUUGAUGCUGGCAGUGGGGCUGAGUAGUUGGAUGUUGUCAUCGUUAUUAGAAGCUGAAAGGCAGAAAGUUACCGAACCAGCCGGUUGGGUUAAUAAGGAGCAUGCUGAUUAGUGAUUGGCUGCUACACAGGCGGACGCAAGUCGAUGCCUCAUGAAUCCUAAAGCGAGGGUGGAAGGAAGGAGCAAAACGAUUCCCUGGGAGGAAAAAAAAA